Molecule: ribosomal RNA, 495 nt
Filed under: uncultured bacterium
Lineage: Bacteria
Description: partial 16S ribosomal RNA
Rfam family: Bacterial small subunit ribosomal RNA
Source: RNAcentral
GAUGAACGCUGGCGGCGUGCCUAAUACAUGCAAGUCGAACGCUGAAGGAGGAGCUUGCUCUUCUGGAUGAGUUGCGAACGGGUGAGUAACGCGUAGGUAACCUGCCUGGUAGCGGGGGAUAACUAUUGGAAACGAUAGCUAAUACCGCAUGACAACAGUUAUUGCAUGAUAACUGUUUAAAAGGGGCAACUGCUCCACUACCAGAUGGACCUGCGUUGUAUUAGCUAGUUGGUGAUGUAACGGCUCACCAAGGCGACGAUACAUAGCCGGCCUGAGAGGGGGAACGGCCACACUGGGACUGGGACACGGCCCAGGAUCCUACGGGAAGGAGCAGUAGGGAAUCUUCGGCAAAGGACGGAAGUCUGACCGAGGAACGCCGCGGGGGUGAAGAAGGGUUUCGGAUCGGAAAGCUCCGUUGUAAGAGAAGAACGAGUGUGAGAGUGGAAAGUUCACACUGUGACGGUAUCUUAACAGAAAGGGACGGCUAACUACGUG